ACGGGAGGCAGCAGUGAGGAAUAUUGGACAAUGGUCGGAAGACUGAUCCAGCCAUGCCGCGUGAAGGAAGAAUGUCCUAUGGAUUGUAAACUUCUUUUGUACGGGAGCAAUAAGGUGUAUGCAUACACCGAUGAGAGUACCGUACGAAUAAGCAUCGGCUAACUCCGUGCCAGCAGCCGCGGUAAUACGGAGGAUGCGAGCGUUAUCCGGAUUUAUUGGGUUUAAAGGGUGCGCAGGCGGGCUGCUAAGUCUCCGGUGAAAUGUCAGGGCUCAACCUUGGCACUGCCGGAGAUACUGGCGGCCUUGAGAGUGGCGGAGGUAUCCGGAAUGUGUGGUGUAGCGGUGAAAUGCAUAGAUAUCACACAGAACACCGAUUGCGAAGGCAGGAUACCAUACCAUAUCUGACGCUCAGGCACGAAAGCGUGGGGAUCGAACAGGAUUAGAUACCCUGGUA
Molecule: ribosomal RNA, 454 nt
Filed under: uncultured Porphyromonas sp.
Lineage: Bacteria; Pseudomonadati; Bacteroidota; Bacteroidia; Bacteroidales; Porphyromonadaceae
Description: partial 16S ribosomal RNA
Rfam family: Bacterial small subunit ribosomal RNA
Source: RNAcentral